GGACCCGCACAAGUAGUGGAGCAUGUGGUUUAAUUCGAAGAUACGCGCAGAACCUUACCAACACUUGACAUGUUCGUCGCGACUUUAAGAGAUUAAAGUUUUCGGUUCGGCCGGACGAAACACAGGUGCUGCAUGGCUGUCGUCAGCUCGUGUCGUGAGAUGUUGGGUUAAGUCCCGCAACGAGCGCAACCCUCACUUUUAGUUGCCAUCAUUUAGUUGGGCACUCUGAAAGAACUGCCAGUGAUAAGCUGGAGGAAGGUGGGGAUGACGUCAAGUCCUCAUGGCCCUUACGUGUUGGGCUACACACGUGCUACAAUGGUAUCUACAACAGGAAGCAAAACUGCGAAGUUAAGCAAAUCCUUAAAAGAUACCUCAGUUCGGAUUGUCGUCUGCAACUCGACGGCAUGAAGUCGGAAUCGCUAGUAA
Molecule: ribosomal RNA, 426 nt
Filed under: uncultured bacterium
Lineage: Bacteria
Description: bacterial SSU rRNA
Rfam family: Bacterial small subunit ribosomal RNA
Source: RNAcentral